UACGGAGGGGGCAAGCGUUGUUCGGAUUUACUGGGCGUAAAGGGCGCGUAGGCGGUUAGUCAAGUUCGGUGUGAAAGCUUCACCACUCAACGGGAAGAGGUCAUCGAAAACUGGCUGGCUAGAGUAGGGUAGAGGCAAGCGGAAUUCCUGGUGUAGCGGUGGAAUGUGUAGAUAUCAGGAAGAACAUCGGUGGCGAAGGCGGCUUGCUGGGCCCUUACUGACGCUGAAGCUCGAAAGCGUGGGGAGCAAACGGG
Molecule: ribosomal RNA, 254 nt
Filed under: uncultured bacterium
Lineage: Bacteria
Description: partial 16S ribosomal RNA
Rfam family: Bacterial small subunit ribosomal RNA
Source: RNAcentral